Molecule: ribosomal RNA, 464 nt
Filed under: Vreelandella stevensii
Lineage: Bacteria; Pseudomonadati; Pseudomonadota; Gammaproteobacteria; Oceanospirillales; Halomonadaceae
Description: partial 16S ribosomal RNA
Rfam family: Bacterial small subunit ribosomal RNA
Source: RNAcentral
CCUACGGGAGGCUGCAGUGGGGAAUAUUGGACAAUGGGCGAAAGCCUGAUCCAGCCAUGCCGCGUGUGUGAAGAAGGCCUUCGGGUUGUAAAGCACUUUCAGUGGGGAAGAAAGCCUUGGGGCUAAUACCCUCGAGGAAGGACAUCACCCACAGAAGAAGCACCGGCUAACUCCGUGCCAGCAGCCGCGGUAAUACGGAGGGUGCGAGCGUUAAUCGGAAUUACUGGGCGUAAAGCGCGCGUAGGCGGUCUGAUAAGCCGGUUGUGAAAGCCCCGGGCUCAACCUGGGAACGGCAUCCGGAACUGUCAGGCUAGAGUGCAGGAGAGGAAGGUAGAAUUCCCGGUGUAGCGGUGAAUGCGUAGAGAUCGGGAGGAAUACCAGUGGCGAAGGCGGCCUUCUGGACUGACACUGACGCUGAGGUGCGAAAGCGUGGGUAGCAAACAGGAUUAGAUACCCCGGUAGUC